UACGGAGGAUGCGAGCGUUAUCCGGAUUUAUUGGGUUUAAAGGGUGCGCAGGCGGCGUGUCAAGUCAGCGGUAAAAUGUCGGGGCUCAACCCCGGCCGGCCGUUGAAACUGGCGUGCUCGAGUUGGAGAGAAGUAUGCGGAAUUCGUGGUGUAGCGGUGAAAUGCAUAGAUAUCACGAAGAACCCCGAUUGCGAAGGCAGCAUACCGGCUCCACACUGACGCUGAGGCACGGAAGCGUGGGUAUCGAACAGG
RNAcentral lists this ribosomal RNA (252 nucleotides) under uncultured bacterium. Its description in RNAcentral is "partial 16S ribosomal RNA". It matches the Rfam family "Bacterial small subunit ribosomal RNA", at positions 524 to 776 of the family's 1533-position model. The record is from RNAcentral.